GCACAGACUAGGCUGGGGGGUUAGGCGUCCCCUGUAACCGGAAAUCGCCUUAGCCGGAGCCGAAGCCUCCAAGGCGGCGUGUGCAUCCAGCAACGAUCCAGCAUCAGACGAUGAUGUUUCGUCCUCCGGGAUUGGAGGUGAUGGGAGUGUCAGCUGGAGGGCUGAUGCUUCCAUCUUUAUCCCGGCCACCGGGUUAGGCCCGGAAGGGAGCGGCCCAGCCGGGAACUACCGAUGCUCGGAGGGGCGCGGAACUGAGAAAGGUGCUGGGGCAAUCGUUGCUGGGUGUAUGCGCCCACUUGGGGCGUGUCUGUGC
This 313-nucleotide signal recognition particle RNA is filed under the name Thermoplasmatales archaeon. RNAcentral describes it as "signal recognition particle sRNA". It matches the Rfam family "Archaeal signal recognition particle RNA". The record is from RNAcentral. Lineage: Archaea; Methanobacteriati; Thermoplasmatota; Thermoplasmata; Thermoplasmatales.